AGUGAACGCUGGCGGCGUGCCUAAUACAUGCAAGUCGAACGGAGAUUAAGUAGCUUGCUAUUUAAUCUUAGUGGCGCACGGGUGAGUAAUAUAUAGCUAACUUGCCCAUUACUAAGGGACAACAGUUGGAAACGACUGCUAAUACCUUAUACUCCGUAUCUAUAUAAGUAGAUACGGGAAAGUUUUUCGGUAAUGGAUAGGGCUGUAUCGUAUCAGCUAGUUGGUAAGGUAAUGGCUUACCAAGGCUAUGACGCGUAACUGGUCUGAGAGGAUGAUCAGUCACACUGGAACUGAGACACGGUCCAGACUCCUACGGGAGGCAGCAGUAGGGAAUAUUGCUCAAUGGGGGAAACCCUGAAGCAGCAACGCCGCGUGGAGGAUGACACUUUUCGGAGCGUAAACUCCUUUUCUUGGGAAAGAAUUAUGACGGUACCCAAGGAAUAAGCACCGGCUAACUCCGUG
RNAcentral lists this ribosomal RNA (462 nucleotides) under uncultured bacterium. RNAcentral describes it as "partial 16S ribosomal RNA". It matches the Rfam family "Bacterial small subunit ribosomal RNA", at positions 29 to 507 of the family's 1533-position model. The record is from RNAcentral.